This 300-nucleotide ribosomal RNA is filed under the name uncultured Oleispira sp. RNAcentral's name for it is "bacterial SSU rRNA". It matches the Rfam family "Bacterial small subunit ribosomal RNA", at positions 114 to 417 of the family's 1533-position model. The record is from RNAcentral. Lineage: Bacteria; Pseudomonadati; Pseudomonadota; Gammaproteobacteria; Oceanospirillales; Oceanospirillaceae.
UGCUUAGGAAUCUACCAAGUAGUGGGGGAUAGCCAUUGGAAACGAUGAUUAAUACCGCAUAUAUCCUACGGGGGAAAGCAGGGGAUCUUCGGACCUUGCGCUAUUUGAUGAGCCUGAGUGAGAUUAGCUAGUUGGUGGGGUAAAGGCCUACCAAGGCGACGAUCUCUAGCUGGUCUGAGAGGAUGAUCAGCCACACUGGGACUGAGACACGGCCCAGACUCCUACGGGAGGCAGCAGUGGGGAAUAUUGCACAAUGGGCGAAAGCCUGACGGAGCGACGCUGCGUGAAGGAUGACGGCCU